Molecule: ribosomal RNA, 251 nt
Filed under: uncultured bacterium
Lineage: Bacteria
Description: partial 16S ribosomal RNA
Rfam family: Bacterial small subunit ribosomal RNA
Source: RNAcentral
GACAUGGCUCAGGAUGAACGCUAGCUACAGGCUUAACACAUGCAAGUCGAGGGGCAGCAUUUUAGUUUGCUUGCAAACUAAAGAUGGCGACCGGCGCACGGGUGAGUAACACGUAUCCAACCUGCCGAUAACUCGGGGAUAGCCUUUCGAAAGAAAGAUUAAUAUCCGAUAGUAUAUUUUCUCCGCAUGGUGAGAAUAUUAAAGAAUUUCGGUUAUCGAUGGGGAUGCGUUCCAUUAGUUUGUUGGCGGGG